RNAcentral lists this ribosomal RNA (253 nucleotides) under uncultured bacterium. RNAcentral's name for it is "partial 16S ribosomal RNA". It matches the Rfam family "Bacterial small subunit ribosomal RNA", at positions 524 to 776 of the family's 1533-position model. The record is from RNAcentral.
UACGUAGGGUGCAAGCGUUGUCCGGAAUUAUUGGGCGUAAAGAGCUCGUAGGCGGUGUGUCGCGGCGGCUGUGAAAACCCGGAGCUCAACUCCGGGCCGGCAGUGGAUACGGGCAGACUGGAGUGUUGCAGGGGAGACUGGAAUUCCUGGUGUGGCGGUGAAAUGCGCAGGUAUCAGGAGGAACACCGGUGGCGAAGGCGGGUCUCUGGGCAACAACUGACGCUGAGGAGCGAAAGCGUGGGGAGCGAACACG